RNAcentral lists this ribosomal RNA (677 nucleotides) under uncultured bacterium. RNAcentral's name for it is "bacterial SSU rRNA". It matches the Rfam family "Bacterial small subunit ribosomal RNA", at positions 83 to 774 of the family's 1533-position model. The record is from RNAcentral.
UCUGGGUGAUCAGUGGCGAACGGGUGAGUAACACGUGACUAACCUGCCCCCGACUCUGGGAUAACCCCGGGAAAUCGGAGCUAAUACCGGAUACGAGACGCACAGGCAUCUGUGGCGUUUGGAAAGAAUUUCGGUCGGGGAUGGAGUCGCGGCCUAUCAGCUAGUUGGUGAGGUAAUGGCUCACCAAGGCGACGACGGGUAGCCGGCCUGAGAGGGCGACCGGCCACACUGGGACUGAGACACGGCCCAGACUCCUACGGGAGGCAGCAGUGGGGAAUAUUGCACAAUGGGCGAAAGCCUGAUGCAGCGACGCCGCGUGGGGGAUGAAGGCCUUCGGGUUGUAAACCCCUUUCAGCAGGGAAGAAGCGAAAGUGACGGUACCUGCAGAAGAAGCGCCGGCUAACUACGUGCCAGCAGCCGCGGUAAUACGUAGGGCGCAAGCGUUGUCCGGAUUUAUUGGGCGUAAAGAGCUCGUAGGUGGUUUGUCGCGUCUGCUGUGAAAACCCGAGGCUCAACCUCGGGCCUGCAGUGGGUACGGGCAGACUAGAGUGCGGUAGGGGAGACCGGAAUUCCUGGUGUAGCGGUGGAAUGCGCAGAUAUCAGGAGGAACACCGAUGGCGAAGGCAGGUCUCUGGGCCGCAACUGACACUGAGGAGCGAAAGCAUGGGGAGCGAACA